CAGGUAAACACCUAUAUUAAUCGGCGCUGAUCAAAUUUGUAUCAAAAUGUAGAAAUUCGCACGUUUUGAUUGGUUCUUGUGCCACUGACGAAGACGACUGCAGUAUUGGGUACGCCCUUUAUGGAAACUGGGUAUGAGACUCACCUGUAGCCGACUGAUCAGUGGAUGUUGAUGUUUAAGAAAUAUCCAGGUGUGGAAUUGGUGUAAGAAUAAAUGUGAAAAGAAGUUCCCACGCUGUUUCAUCGAAAAUUAGGUGCUGAAAAUACGAGUAUAUCAUUUUUUAUGUUGACGCUCACCAUAGCAAAAAUAAA
Molecule: long non-coding RNA, 311 nt
Organism: Schistocerca cancellata (South American locust)
Lineage: Eukaryota; Metazoa; Arthropoda; Insecta; Orthoptera; Acrididae
Exons: 2
Source: RefSeq, a predicted model, not a curated record